AAUGGCCCGCUGAAGCAUCUGAAUCUAUAGCUUCAUGCACAUGUCUCUUUAACAGUGGAGGAAGCAGAGGUUACCUUGAUCUAUGAUGUCACCAACUGACCAUACUUCAUUUUGUGACUUCACAGGCUUGAGAGAGGCAAAUAGCUAGAACAGUUUUACAGCAUUUUAGCCAUGUCUACUUAUGAACGGUAAGAUGGGUUCACAUCUGACACUAUAUCUGAUAUUAUAAUCUUAUCCUAUUUUUUGAUGUAACAUUGGAUAGGCUCCCAUAUCAUGCCCUGUCUUCAGUGCCAGUGACUACCUGAAAUGCUGUUUCAUCUAUAGUUGAAAUGAGACUUAACAGGUCUUUUAGCUAUGAUUUCUGGUAAACUGUGAGCAGUUGACAAGCUAUGAGCAACUCAAGGGCCAUUUUUGGUUUGGAUCAAAGGCCUCCAUCACUGAUAUUUAUCAUAAGGAACUGCCAAGAUACACAUUAAAGUGUACAAGUAGAGUUUUAUUU
Molecule: long non-coding RNA, 499 nt
Filed under: Anolis carolinensis (green anole)
Lineage: Eukaryota; Metazoa; Chordata; Lepidosauria; Squamata; Anolidae
Description: lncRNA (ENSACAG00000041422.1)
Source: RNAcentral